GACGAACGCUGGCGGCGUGCUUAACACAUGCAAGUCGAACGGCAACGCCCUGCUUUUGUGGGGUGCUCGAGUGGCGAACGGGUGCGUAACAGGUGAGUAACCUGCCCUUGAUUUUGGGAUAACUUCAGGAAAGUGGGGCUACUAUCGGAUAGCAUCUCCUGUUGCAUGGUGGGGGUUGGAAAGUUUCGGCGGUUGGGGUUGGAUUCGCGGCUUACCAGCUUGUUGGUGGGGUAGUGGCUUACCAAGGCUUUGACGGGUAGCCGGCCUGAGAGGGUGACCGGCCACAUUGCGACUGAGAGACGGCCCAGACUCCUACGUGAGGCAGCAGUGGGGAAUAUUGCACAAUGGGCGGAAGCCUGAUGCAGCGACGCCGCGUGCGGGAUGACGGCCUUCGGGUUGUAAACCGCUUUCGCCUGUGACGAAGCGUGAGUGACGGUAAUGAAUAAAGAAGCACCGGCUAACUACGUG
This 468-nucleotide ribosomal RNA is filed under the name uncultured bacterium. RNAcentral's name for it is "partial 16S ribosomal RNA". It matches the Rfam family "Bacterial small subunit ribosomal RNA", at positions 28 to 507 of the family's 1533-position model. The record is from RNAcentral.